Molecule: non-coding RNA, 83 nt
Organism: Coemansia sp. RSA 2708
Lineage: Eukaryota; Fungi; Kickxellomycota; Kickxellomycetes; Kickxellales; Kickxellaceae
Source: the annotation of a GenBank genome assembly
GGUAAGGUGGCCGAGCGGUCAAAGGCGCCAGUUUUAAGCACUGGCCCCGAAAGGGUUCGUGGGUUCGAACCCCACCCUUACCA